UUUUUGUUUCCCGGGGAGAUAAGCAUAUCAAUAAGMRGMSGRRARKARACUAACAAGGAUUCCCCUCAGUAACUGCGAGUGAAGCGGGAAAAGCUCAAAUUUUAAAAUCUGGCGGUCUUUGGCUGUCCGAGKUGUAAAUCUAGAGAAGUGUUAUCCGCGCUGGACCGUGUACAAGUCUCCUGGAAUGGAGCGUCAUAGAGGGUGAGAAUCCCGUCUUUGACACGGACUGCCAGUGCUUUGUGAUGCGCUCUCAAAGAGUCGAGUUGUUUGGGAAUGCAGCUCAAAAUGGGUGGUAAAUUCCAUCUAAAGCUAAAUAUUGGCGAGAGACCGAUAGCGAACAAGUACCGUGAGGGAAAGAUGAAAAGAACUUUGGAAAGAGAGUUAAACAGUACGUGAAAUUGUUGAAAGGGAAACGCUUGAAGUCAGUCGCGUCGUCCGGGGAUCAACCUUGCUUUUGCUGGGUGUACUUUCCGGUUGACGGGUCAGCAUCAAUUUUGACCGUUGGAUAAAGUUCAGGGGAAUGUGGCAUCUUCGGAUGUGUUAUAGCCCUUGGUCGCAUACAACGAUUGGGAUUGAGGAACUCAGCACGCCGCAAGGCCGGGAAUUUAUUCCACGUUCGUGCUCAGGAUGCUGGCAUAAUGGCUUUAAUCGACCCGUCUUGAAACACGGACCAAGGAGUCUAACAUGCCUGCGAGUGUUUGGGUGGAAAACCCGAGCGCGUAAUGAAAGUGAAAGUUGAGAUCCCUGUCGCGGGGAGCAUCGACGCCCGGACCAGACCUUUUGUGACGGAUCCGCGGUAGAGCAUGUAUGUUGGGACCCGAAAGAUGGUGAACUAUGCCUGAAUAKGGUUGAAGCCAGAGGAAACUCUGGUGGAGGCUCGUAGCGAUUCUGACGUGCAAAUCGAUCGUCAAAUUUGGGUAUAGGGGCGAAAGACUAAUCGAACCAUCUWKYRGCUGGUUCCUGCCGAAUCUCCCCCCGGAAAAAAAAAAGAAAGA
RNAcentral lists this ribosomal RNA (995 nucleotides) under Kuehneromyces sp. Its description in RNAcentral is "partial large subunit ribosomal RNA". The record is from RNAcentral. Lineage: Eukaryota; Fungi; Basidiomycota; Agaricomycetes; Agaricales; Kuehneromycetaceae.